Molecule: ribosomal RNA, 253 nt
Filed under: uncultured bacterium
Lineage: Bacteria
Description: partial 16S ribosomal RNA
Rfam family: Bacterial small subunit ribosomal RNA
Source: RNAcentral
UACGUAGGGUGCGAGCGUUGUCCGGAAUUAUUGGGCGUAAAGGGCUCGUAGGCGGUUUGUCGCGUCGGGAGUGAAAUCCACUGGCUUAACUGGUGGCUUGCUUUCGAUACGGACAGACUGGAGGUAUGCAGGGGAGAACGGAAUUCCUGGUGUAGCGGUGAAAUGCGCAGAUAUCAGGAGGAACACCGGUGGCGAAGGCGGUCUCCUGGGGCAUUCUUGACGCUGAGACGCGAAAGCUGGGGGAGCAAACGGG